GACGAACGCUGGCGGCGUGCUUAACACAUGCAAGUCGAACGGAAAGGCCCUGCUUGUGUGGGGUGCUCGAGGGGCGAACGGGGGAGGAACACGUGAGUAACCUGCCCUAGACUUUGGGAUAACUUCAGGAAACUGGGGCUAAUACCGGAUGGGAGCUGCUGCUGCAUGGUGGGGGGUGGAAAGUUGCGGCGGUUGUGGAUGGACUCGCGGCUUAUCGGCUUGUUGGUGGGGUAGUGGCUGACCAAGGCUUUGACGGGUAGGCGGCCUGAGAGGGUGACCGGCCACCUUGGGUCUGAGAUCCGGCCCCGACUCCUACGGGUGGCCGCAGUGGGCAAUCUUGCACCAUGGGCGGCACCCUGAUGCAGCAACGCCGCGUGCGGGAUGACGGCCUUCGGGUUGUAGACCGCUUUCGCCUGUGACCAAGCGUGAGUUGCGGUAAUGGGUAAAGAAGCCCCGGCUAACUACGUG
Molecule: ribosomal RNA, 468 nt
Filed under: uncultured bacterium
Lineage: Bacteria
Description: partial 16S ribosomal RNA
Rfam family: Bacterial small subunit ribosomal RNA
Source: RNAcentral